This is a long non-coding RNA of Sorghum bicolor (sorghum), 604 nucleotides long. RefSeq lists it as uncharacterized. Lineage: Eukaryota; Viridiplantae; Streptophyta; Magnoliopsida; Poales; Poaceae. The transcript is spliced from 4 exons. The record is from RefSeq and is a predicted model, not a curated record.
CACAUCCCCUGCCCUCACGGAGUCACGGCCACCGUGCCACGCGCAAGAGCUUCGGCCACCAGCAUGCUGCGCGUGCAUGCUCCAGCCUCCGGCACAUAUUGUCUAGGUGCCCAGCGUGGUAGGUCCUAGCAAGGUAGCAGCAAGGCUCAAGCCUGCAGCGAGACGGACGCUGCCUGUUCCGACGACGGAACUUUAUCGACGCUUCAGACUUGGACAUGAAAUUCAAGAGGCAUACUUACUAUUUGCAUCAGCAGCAGCAACGCAAGGAAUUCUUGGCUUUCACCGUCCUUGAGGAUGUCGUCACUUGCCUGUGCAGCAUGUUGUUGAUAGUGGAUUUUCUAAGCAGAAAGGCUAUAAUCCGGGUCUAAACUUCAGAGAGGAAAAACUGAAGCAGCUGGACUAAAGCAGUUGGUUACUUGCUUAUCACUAGAAUUCCAUUAUGCCCUUACAAAUGUGCUGCUGCUGCAUGGUUUAAAUUUGAGACAUAAGACCCUACAUGUGUAAUGAAUUGGUGGAUUGAUGUCAUGAUAUGUAUUUACUGUUGAGAUGUUAAUUCAUUUGGAUCUGAUGUUUUAUAUGUUGAAAAAUUACAUGGAUGCAAUUA